AGUGAACGCUGGCGGUAGGCCUAACACAUGCAAUUCGAACGGCAGCACAUUAAGAGCUUGCUCUUACGGGUGGCGAGUGGCGGACGGGUGAGGAUUACAUCGGAAUCUACUUUUUCGUGGGGGAUAACUUAGGGAAACUUACGCUAAUACCGCAUACGACCUACGGGUGAAAGCAGGGGAUCUUCGGACCUUGCGCGUUUGAAUGAGCCGAUGUCGGAUUAGCUAGUUGGCGGGGUAAAGGCCCACCAAGGCGACGAUCCGUAGCUGGUCUGAGAGGAUGAUCAGCCACACUGGAACUGAGACACGGUCCAGACUCCUACGGGAGGCAGCAGUGGGGAAUAUUGGACAAUGGGCGCAAGCCUGAUCCAGCCAUACCGCGUGGGUGAAGAAGGCCUUCGGGUUGUAAAGCCCUUUUGUUGGGAAAGAAAAGCAGCAGGUUAAUACCCCGCUGUUCUGACGGUACCCAAAGAAUAAGCACCGGCUAACUUCGUG
RNAcentral lists this ribosomal RNA (492 nucleotides) under uncultured bacterium. RNAcentral's name for it is "partial 16S ribosomal RNA". It matches the Rfam family "Bacterial small subunit ribosomal RNA", at positions 29 to 507 of the family's 1533-position model. The record is from RNAcentral.